GAUGAACGCUGGCGGCGUGCCUAAUACAUGCAAGUCGAGCGAACAGACGAGGAGCUUGCUCCUCUGACGUUAGCGGCGGACGGGUGAGUAACACGUGGAUAACCUACCUAUAAGACUGGGAUAACUUCGGGAAACCGGAGCUAAUACCGGAUAAUAUAUUGAACCGCAUGGUUCAAUAGUGAAAGACGGUUUUGCUGUCACUUAUAGAUGGAUCCGCGCCGCAUUAGCUAGUUGGUAAGGUAACGGCUUACCAAGGCAACGAUGCGUAGCCGACCUGAGAGGGGGCACGGCAACAGGGAAAGUGAAACGGGGCCCAGACCCCAGGGGGGGGGAGGAGGAGGAAAUUUGCCGAAAGGGGAAAAGGCUUGACGGAAAAACCGCGGGUGAGUGAAGAAGGUUUUGGGAGCGAAAAACUUUUUUUUGGGGGAAAAAAAAAGGGGAAAAUAAUUUUGCACGUUUAGAAGGAACCAAAAAAAAAAGCCAGGGAAAAACACG
RNAcentral lists this ribosomal RNA (495 nucleotides) under uncultured bacterium. RNAcentral describes it as "partial 16S ribosomal RNA". It matches the Rfam family "Bacterial small subunit ribosomal RNA", at positions 28 to 505 of the family's 1533-position model. The record is from RNAcentral.